UCUGGUUUUGUGCAUAUGCUGGGCUGAUUACAGAAAUAUGGGUAAUUCCAGGGCGAGGGAGGAAUAAAUGUAAGCGUUCUGUUGAAUCCGCUGUUUUCAGGACAUCACGCAGCUCCUCAGUCCUCAGUCAGUCCACACUGAGAUGAUGACCCAUCUGGCCUUCAGUCAGGAGCCCAUGGAUUCUCUGGAACUGAAGUUACAGGAGCUGCCAGCCAUCAUGUAGAUGCUGUGAAUGGAACCCAGGUCCUCUGUAAGAGGAAGAAGUGCUGUGGUAUGUAUGUGUACAUCCAUACACACCCGACAAGUAAAUAAUUACCAUUUUAAAGCAUAUGAGGAGAAGAUCUGAGGCUGCUCCGCUCACCUGUGACCACCAGCUAGCUGGGCCAGGCGCUGAUGGAAGGUCUGGGAAGUUCCUCUGGAAAGAAUUCAGAAUUAAUUAACUCUUCAUCACAGUGAGCCUCUCCUAAAAUUCUGAAGGAUCAAAGGUUGUCGAUCUUGGCAGCAACUGCCUUUAUUCGCUGAGCCAUCUCAUCUGCCCAUCUCUUCUUCUUGAGCAUGAAUGCAAUGUGACCAGUUACCUCAAGCUCCUGUUGCUGUGACUUCCCCACCAGUAUGGGCUGCAAUCUCAAACAGUAAGCUGAAACCAACAGUAAGCAAUUUCUCCCGUAAGUUGCUUUAUCAAGGAUUUAUCACAGCAACAGGAAAAGUAGCUACUGUAGGGUAAAAAGUCCAAGCUCACUUCUGGGUUUCAGAAAGCCACCGAUCCCUGAGCUCAGAAACCAACCAACUCUGAGUUUAGAAACCCACAAAUUCUUGAGUUCACCCCAAGCUCAGGACUUGAAGUCCCAUGAAUCAAGUCCCAUGAAUCCCAACCCUGGAAAUCAUCC
Peromyscus maniculatus bairdii (prairie deer mouse) is the source of this 887-nucleotide non-coding RNA. The record is from RefSeq and is a predicted model, not a curated record. NCBI's taxonomy places the organism in Eukaryota, Metazoa, Chordata, Mammalia, Rodentia, Cricetidae.